CCGCGAUUGACGUCAUGCGAAGUGAGGUUAGGUUGGGUCGCCGACCCCAGCUGCGCGCGGAAGUUCGCCCGGGAAAUUUUUAACGGGACGAGUCUUCGUUCCCGAUGUAAUCCCGUCUUCGCCGAGGAGGACUAGAACAAAGGACAUUAAUAGGAUGGCUAUGGAAUUAGGAAAGUUGGAGAUUGCUCCGCUCGCCUUCCAGCAGACGUCCAGCUUGCAAUUGGACGCCAAUUGGCCGAACUGGCUCUUCAGGAACUCCCAAUCGCAAAGACCGACUUGACAGCCACUGUAUCGUACUGGUUUCUCCGACAAGUAAAACAUUACCUUGUUGCGGUUAUUUCUGUCGUUGCAUCUGCAA
Monomorium pharaonis (pharaoh ant) is the source of this 358-nucleotide long non-coding RNA. RefSeq lists it as uncharacterized. The transcript is spliced from 2 exons. The record is from RefSeq and is a predicted model, not a curated record. Lineage: Eukaryota; Metazoa; Arthropoda; Insecta; Hymenoptera; Formicidae.